This 1278-nucleotide ribosomal RNA is filed under the name uncultured bacterium AH040. RNAcentral's name for it is "bacterial SSU rRNA". It matches the Rfam family "Bacterial small subunit ribosomal RNA", at positions 24 to 1343 of the family's 1533-position model. The record is from RNAcentral.
UCAGGAUGAACGCUGGCGGCGUGCCUAACACAUGCAAGUCGAGCGGCAGCGCGAGUAGUUUACUACUUGGCGGCGAGCGGCGGACGGCUGAGUAACGCGUGGGAAUUUGCCCCAAAGUGAGGAAUAACUGCCCGAAAGGGUGGCUAAUGCCGCAUAUGAUCUUCGGAUUAAAGGAUUUAUCCGCUUUGGGAGAAGCCCGCGUCGGAUUAGGUAGUUGGUGAGGUAAUGGCUCACCAAGCCGACGAUCCGUAGCUGGUCUGAGAGGAUGACCAGCCAGACUGGAACUGAGACACGGUCCAGACUCCUACGGGAGGCAGCAGUGAGGAAUCUUCCACAAUGGGCGAAAGCCUGAUGGAGCAACGCCGCGUGCAGGAUGAAGGCCUUCGGGUUGUAAACUGCUUUUAUAAGUGAGGAAUAUGACGGUAGCUUAUGAAUAAGGAUCGGCUAACUACGUGCCAGCAGCCGCGGUCAUACGUAGGAUCCGAGCGUUAUCCGGAGUGACUGGGCGUAAAGAGUUGCGUAGGCGGUUUGUUAAGUGAAUAGUGAAAUCUGGUGGCUCAACCAUACAGGCUAUUAUCAAACUGGCAAACUCGAGAGUGGUAGAGGUCACUGGAAUUUCUUGUGUAGGAGUGAAAUCCGUAGAUAUAAGAAGGAACACCGAUGGCGUAGGCAGGUGACUGGACCAUUUCUGACGCUAAGGCACGAAAGCGUGGGGAGCGAACCGGAUUAGAUACCCGGUUAGUCCACGCCGUAACCGAUGGAUACUGSCUSUUGGAGGUAUCGACCCCUUCAAUAGCGAAGCUAACGCGUUAAGUAUCCCGCCUGUGGAGUACGGUCGCAAGACUAAAACAUAAAGGAAUUGACGGGGACCCGCACAAGCGGUGGAUCGUGUUCUUUAAYUCGAUGCUAAACGAAGAACCUUACCAGGGCUUGACAUCCAGGGAAUUUUUGGGAAACCAAUUAGUGCCUUUUGGAACCCUGUGACAGGUGAUGCAUGGCCGUCGUCAGCUCGUGUCGUGAGAUGUUUGGUUAAGUCCAUCAACGAGCGCAACCCUUGCAACUAGUUGGAUUUUUCUAGUUGGACUGCUUCGGUAACGGAGAGGAAGGAGGGGAUGAUGUCAGGUCAGUAUUUCCCUUACGUCCUGGGCUAGAAACACGAUACAAUGGCUAGUACAAUGCGCAGCGAAGCCGCGAGGUGGAGCAAAUCGCAUCAAAGCUAGUCCCAGUUCGGAUUGGAGGCUGAAACUCGCCUCCAUGAAGUCGGAAUCGCUAGUAAUU